AUUGAACGCUGGCGGAAUGCUUUACACAUGCAAGUCGAGCGGCAGCGCGGGGGCAACCCUGGCGGCGAGCGGCGAACGGGUGAGUAAUACAUCGGAACGUGUCCUUAAGUGGGGGAUAGCUCGGCGAAAGCCGGAUUAAUACCGCAUAAGCUCUGAGGAGGAAAGCGGGGGCUCCGUAAGGACCUCGCGCUGUUGGAGCGGCCGAUGUCGGAUUAGCUAGUUGGUGGGGUAAAGGCCCACCAAGGCGACGAUCCGUAGCUGGUCUGAGAGGAUGAUCAGCCACACUGGAACUGAGACACGGUCCAGACUCCUACGGGAGGCAGCAGUGGGGAAUUUUGGACAAUGGGGGCAACCCUGAUCCAGCCAUUCCGCGUGAGUGAAGAAGGCC
This 388-nucleotide ribosomal RNA is filed under the name uncultured bacterium. Its description in RNAcentral is "bacterial SSU rRNA". It matches the Rfam family "Bacterial small subunit ribosomal RNA", at positions 29 to 416 of the family's 1533-position model. The record is from RNAcentral.